AACGAACGCUGGCGGCAUGCCUAACACAUGCAAGUCGAACGAGACCUUCGGGUCUAGUGGCGCACGGGUGCGUAACGCGUGGGAACCUGCCCUUAGGUUCGGAAUAACUCCCCGAAAGGGGUGCUAAUACCGGAUAAUGUCUUCGGACCAAAGAUUUAUCGCCUUUGGAUGGGCCCGCGUUGGAUUAGCUAGUUGGUAGGGUAAAAGCCUACCAAGGCGACGAUCCAUAGCUGGUCUGAGAGGAUGAUCAGCCACACUGGGACUGAGACACGGCCCAGACCCCCACGGGAGGCAGCAGGGGGGAAUAAUGGACAAUGGGCGGAAGCCUGAUCCAGCAAUGCCGCGGGAGUGAUUAAGGCCUUAGGGUUGUAAAGCUCUUUUACCCGGGAUGAUAAUGACAGUACCGGGAGAAUAAGCUCCGGCUAACUCCGU
This 432-nucleotide ribosomal RNA is filed under the name uncultured bacterium. RNAcentral's name for it is "partial 16S ribosomal RNA". It matches the Rfam family "Bacterial small subunit ribosomal RNA", at positions 29 to 506 of the family's 1533-position model. The record is from RNAcentral.